CAGUUUCCCUUUACCCAUUAAAAAACGGGAAAAAACUGGCGGCUGCGACUCCUAGCAAACACAAUAGCCAAUUCAAAGACGGAUCAUCAUCGACGGCUCCGACUUCUCUCUUUUCUCAACGACGUUCUUCCUGGACGUGAAUAUGAAGAAACCCUAAACAUUGUGACAGGAGGCCUCCUAAUUGGCCUUGAGAUGCUGUUGAAGCAGAAGCGCAGAAGAGAGAAGUUGCUGCUGGUGACUUAUCUCCCAGUUAAUCACAUGUAAGACACAAAGUAAAGGUCCGCAGAAAAAUACGAUAUCCUGAACUUCAGAAAUAGUACGAAAAGGUUCACAACUACUCAUCAGAAAUCCAGGAAAUUGGUAAAUAUGAUUAGGAGAGUAAAGUAUUUCGAGAUCCAACCAGAGAGCCACAGACCGUUUUCUAUGGUGUGGCUCUGCCGAUGGAAAUCUUGUGGUCAUUUUCCCAUGUGCUAAUGGAGACGGUAACGGAACAAUGCACAUCAACAUACUCGAUAGUUAAAGUGAAAGAAUAAAUAAGAACGAGGACAUGCUAGGCGGAUCAAAAGCACCACCAAUGGCCAAGCAAAACGCUACGUCUGGUACUCUUGCAAGUAGGGAGUUCUAUAAAGAAUAUUCUCAGCCUUCCAACGCUUUGAAAAAGACAACAGUGGAUAUAUCACAAUGGAAGCCCUGGAGCAGUCCCUGAGGGACAUUAAUGGUGGAAGAGACCUUAAUGAAAUUAUUUCUGAAGUUGAUGGAGAAAAAUAUUUUCAAAGAAGGGGAGCUUCGCCACUUCUUCCUCUUUGUGUCACAUCUAUAGAAACGUCUGUUUCGUUCCAUUUCAGGCUCCUCUGCGGCUUCUCGGUGGCAUUUCCAACUUCAUACAUUUUACACAUGGGAUGCUAACAAGUAACAACUUGCUAUCGUAAAUAAGGAUGAUAAAAGACAUAAACAUGGGGAAAAUACACUUUGUAUUAUGAGAGAAGUGCAUCAGUUUAAAAUAUUGUAAUUGUCGAGUGGGAGAACGGAGUACUGAAUUAAUUUACACACUGUAUUAGCAGCC
Molecule: long non-coding RNA, 1063 nt
Organism: Brassica napus (rape)
Lineage: Eukaryota; Viridiplantae; Streptophyta; Magnoliopsida; Brassicales; Brassicaceae
Exons: 6
Source: RefSeq, a predicted model, not a curated record